AUGGCACUUGCGUACGAGGAGGUUAUGCAUGCCCGCUUUUCUUUCACUUUCCCGGUCAGGCCACGCACGUUACACCCAACAUCGCCGGCGUUCUGGAGGAUAUGCGCGGCCAAGGACGUGGAGAAGUUCAAGCCGGACCCCUACCUGGCGACGCUGCUCAACUGCAUGCUCUGGGUCUUCUACGGCCUCCCCAUCGUCCACGCCAACAGCACCCUCGUCGUCACCAUCAACGGCAUCGGCCUCGCCGUCGAGGCCGUCUACCUCGUCAUCUUCUUCAUCUACUCCACCAUCAAAAAAGGGGUAUGUACAUCCCCUAUCAAUUCCUCUGACAGUCCUUUUCGGCGGAAGAUGCUGAUCGUGCUCGGCAUCGAGGCGGCGUUCAUGCUGGCCGUGGUGGUCGGCGUGCUCCACGGCACCCACACCCACAAGAAGCGCUCCAUGAUCGUCGGCAUCCUUUGCGUUAUCUUCGGCUGCAUCAUGUAUGCCUCCCCGCUCACCAUCAUUAGUAAAGUGAUCAGGACCAAAAGUGUGGAGUACAUGCCAUUCUUGCUGUCGCUGGUGAGCUUCCUCAACGGCUGCUGCUGGACGACCUAUGCCCUCAUCAAGUUCGAUCUCUACGUGAUGAUCCCCAAUGGCCUCGGUGCAUUUCUCAGCCUCGUCCAGCUGAUCCUAUACUUCUUCUACUACAAAACGACCCCCAAGAAGGAAAAGAUUGUUGAGCUGCCCACUGUUGUUGUUGACGGUAUUCUGCGGCAAUCCUAG
RNAcentral lists this ribosomal RNA (762 nucleotides) under Triticum aestivum (bread wheat). RNAcentral's name for it is "partial small subunit ribosomal RNA". The record is from RNAcentral. Lineage: Eukaryota; Viridiplantae; Streptophyta; Magnoliopsida; Poales; Poaceae.